Tachysurus fulvidraco (yellow catfish) is the source of this 3582-nucleotide long non-coding RNA. RefSeq lists it as uncharacterized. NCBI's taxonomy places the organism in Eukaryota, Metazoa, Chordata, Actinopteri, Siluriformes, Bagridae. The record is from RefSeq and is a predicted model, not a curated record. The transcript has 3 exons.
GCAGCUUUUAGAGCCUGUCUAUAGCUGGACAUACAUUCUUAAAACCUCUAAUUUAGUUUUUCUCCACUUUCGCUCAAGGUUAUGGGUUGCUCUCUUGAGGGUGUGAAUAUUGUUUUGUCUCUAACCUUCUUUAAUCAGAUGGGGACAACAGUGUCUAAUGUGCUAGUAAGGAUAGUGCCUAUGCUGUUAGUCAUUUCAUCUAGAUUGCUUGUGUUUAAGGGUUAUAGUAAGAAGUUGAGACAGAUCAGGCAGGUUAUUUGUGAAUCUGUCUUUAGUGGUCAGAAUAAUAGUUCUACCAAUUCAAUAACGUGGUGAGACACGGUUAGUCUGUUCUAUAGGUGUACAGUAUUAGGUAAUGGUCUGUGAUGUCAUCGCUUUGAGGUAUGAUAUCUAUAUCAGUGACAUCUAUUCCGUGUGAUAUUAUUAAAUCUAGCAUAUGAUUAAGACAAUGAGUUGAUCUAGUGAUGUUUUGUUUAAGCCUAAAUGAGUUUAGUAGGUCCAUAAAUUUGAGUCUUAAAGCAUUGUUUGUAUUGUCAACGUGAAUGUUAAAAUCUCCUACAAUUAACACUAUCAAAAAGCCCAAACUUUAGGAACUGUCUUUGUUUAUUUCCUUGCUAUUUUUCUGCUCUAAUUACAGUAAGGUUAUCUAGAGAACUUCUCAUGCAUUUACUUUUUGAUCUCACUACUCGAGGAACGGACACAAUUUCUAUAAGAUGAGCUAUGUGUGCAUUUGUAUCAAUUUGAAGUUUUGGUGAAGGAUGGCUAUUAAAAUUAAGGCUUAAAUUGUAGUUCACCAGUGAGAAGGUUUGCAGUGCCCUGGAGAUAUUGUCCGGGAGGAUUUCCGCUCCAACUCUGCUGUGGUGCAAGCAUGGAAUAGCCUAGGGAGCUCCCAGUUAUUCCAGUUAUCAAUAAAGAGUAGAUUCCGAUCGUGAAACCAUGACUGUAACCAUUCAUUUAAGGCAAAAAGUCUACUAAACCUCUAGAUUCCUCGCUGGUAUGUGUGAAGCAGUCCAGACACGAUGAUCCUUGCCGUGGGAUAUGUGCUGCGAACCGUCUCCACCAGGGUCUUGAAGUCCCUCUUCAGGAUCUUCGACUGCCUCAGGCUGGUGUUGUUAGUGCGAGCGUGAAGAACAACAGCUCUGUUGUGCUUGCUCAGGAUCCCCGGUAACUGUGCAGUGACAUCAAGAACACAAGCACCAGGUUAACAGCAUGUUGGGUACCUUACCUUUAGCUACAGUAGCACGGAUUUGGCGGACGAGGGAGUCUCCCAUGAUCACAGCGUUACGUUCCAUCUCGUUUAGGGGCCCGGUGGUGGCCCGGAGGUGGCCCGGUGGUGGUGGCCCGAUGCGAGCUCUUACCGACCGGAAAGAUUCCAGCGUGGCUUUCCUCUCCCACAGCUGGGCCUGCUUCACAUGUUGGUUGCGGAUCUGCUUCUCCAAUGCCUCCAGCUCCAGUUCCACCAAGUGCAACUCGAACAUGUCCUCACCCGCACUCAAAGGCAGACACAUGGUGUUAUAGGGCAGGAUAUUCAGGAUGUCACUUGGUGAUUCAUGUAGACAGCACUAAACUUUAAGUGAACCUUCACCCUCCUUGACAUAUAUCGGUGCUCGGAGUGCUGGCACUGCCCUUUUGCACUUUUGUCCCACCUCACCGAGGCUUAGGAACACCACCAGUCUAGGCUGUUUCGUGAGUGCGGGUAACACAGCCCCUCACUUAACUGGACAGAAAUGCAGAUGGUCUCAGGAGUUAAUUUUUCAUUGUUAACGUGGUGGGAGUCGUCAACAAAAUCUGGAACCAGCCAACGCUUGACCUUCCAGUUCUUUCUCCUGAAGUCUUUCACCGUGAUCCACUCACCAGGGUUUAGGUCAUGCAAUGGAUCUGCAUGUGGUUUAGGAAGGGCAUCCUUCACCUGUCUGUGAAUAUCAGAUAACACAGAGGACACAAUCACCGAUAUUGGAUCUCUGGCUUCCCAGGGGACCCACUCCUGUGGUUAAGGGUCUUCCAAAAAGAAUUUCAAAUCGACUCAGAUUAACUUUACCUCUUGCUCGUGCUCGCAUGUGCAUCAACACUAUUGGGAAGGCUUUAACACAUGACAAGCCUGUUUCAGGGCAGCAUUUUGCUGAAUAACUGGAAUGCCUCUCCCAACGUUGUUCAUUGCACAUACAACACAGCGUUCACAAAUUUUUUGGGAGUAAUUAGUAAAGCCUAUGACAUGCCAAUGUUUCCUUAUUUCUGGUACCAUCCCUUCUUUUGACACAUGGUCUUUACCAUGUGUCAACUUAGCAUAAAAAGGAAACAAUUGCUAAACACGGUUUCCCUGAGGGACCAUACCAAACACCUUGUUUUUGAACACUUCCCACCUUCCUCCAGCGUUGUUUCUCCUCACAAUCACUCGUACCAUGUAAUUCAGUGAGAUUUUGGAUAGAAAAAAACAGUUUAGUCAUGAUGUUUGUGUUUUGUUUCUGCUCAGGUAGCUUUGCUGCUGCCUUUUCCACUGGAUCAGCUUUUGCUUUACCUAUGGAAAAGGAUCAUUAUUACGUGUAUGCAUUAUUAUGUGUAGGAUUGCCUCAAAGAGGUCAGCUAUUAGGCCAUGGUGUGUGAUGGGUUUGCCCAAGGAGGCCAAAAGCCCCUGAUGUUUCCACAGUGUCCCAAUGUCAUGUGUAAUGCCGAAGGCGUAUUUGCUGUUAGUAUACACAGUCAAAGUCUUACCCUCUGCCAAUUUGCAGGCUUCUAUAAUGGUGGUAAGUUCUGCUGCCUGUGCUGAGUAAUGAGAUGGGAGUUUAACUGAAAGUAAAAUUUAAUUCUGGGUAACUACUGCAAACCCCACACAGUUUUGACCUGUUUCUGAGUUCCUGGAUGCUUUCCAGAUAUAAUUUUAGAUCAGGAUUUGUCGGCAAUGUCUCCUGCAAAUCAGGUCUUGGGCUACAAACAUCAUUAACCCUCUGAGGUCUAAGGGUAUUUUUAGGGCCUGGAGAAGUUUGGUCAUACUCUGACAUUUGUGCUUUUUUCAGUUGCAUAUAAAGAUAUAAAUGGCUAAAGUCUAAUGUAAUCAGCACAAACUGGACUACAAUAAGUGAGCAGCAUGUAUGUACAUGAUUGUGUUUUUGAGAAAACAAUGUUUAUGCGUGGCUAGUGAAAAUGAAACAUUUUAAAUCACUUGAAUAAGGCCAUAAAACACAUACAGAACAUUGGUUCACAGGACUUUUGAGAACUGGAUCUUGUAGCUUAGAGUUUUUGCUUCAAAAUUAUGUGAAAAUCAUCUUGUUUACUUACUCACAGAAAACAAUAUAUUGAUUUAAAUUUUCUAAGACACUUUUUGUUGGUAAAGGGCAUAUGCGAGUAGGCGUCAACUAUCAUGAAUAUUAGUGUGAUUCACACCUGAGAAGACAAAGGCCCACAUAAUGAGCUGCAUAAUGAGCCUUACAGGUAGGUGUGUGACUGAGAGAGGAGUUACAAGAAAGAAUGUGAGGACGAAAUAAAUGUGUAUAUUUUUGUUUGUAGUUUAUUUAGAAUAUGUAACUAUCACACAAAAUAACUUUAGAAGUUAGUAAUAACAAAGAAGACACAAUCAGGGCAAAACUG